RNAcentral lists this microRNA (23 nucleotides) under Monodelphis domestica (gray short-tailed opossum). RNAcentral's name for it is "mdo-miR-12375-5p". Lineage: Eukaryota; Metazoa; Chordata; Mammalia; Didelphimorphia; Didelphidae. The record is from miRBase by way of RNAcentral.
CCUCCCCCAUGCUUCUAGAGGGC